GACCCGUUGGCAGAGUGGCUAUGCACCGGUCUGCAGAACCGGUAAGGAGGGUUCGAAUCCCUCACGGGUCU
RNAcentral lists this transfer RNA (71 nucleotides) under Candidatus Blackburnbacteria bacterium. RNAcentral's name for it is "tRNA-Cys". It matches the Rfam family "tRNA". From Rfam's summary of the family: Transfer RNA (tRNA) molecules are approximately 80 nucleotides in length. Lineage: Bacteria; Candidatus Blackburniibacteriota. The record is from RNAcentral.